GAUGAACGCUGGCGGCGUGCCUAAUACAUGCAAGUCGAGCGAACGGACGAGAAGCUUGCUUCUCUGAUGUUAGCGGCGGACGGGUGAGUAACACGUGGAUAACCUACCUAUAAGACUGGGAUAACUUCGGGAAACCGGAGCUAAUACCGGAUAAUAUUUUGAACCGCAUGGUUCAAAAGUGAAAGACGGUCUUGCUGUCACUUAUAGAUGGAUCCGCGCUGCAUUAGCUAGUUGGUAAGGUAACGGCUUACCAAGGCAACGAUGCAUAGCCGACCUGAGAGGGUGAUCGGCCACACUGGAACUGAGACACGGUCCAGACUCCUAUGGGAGGCAGCAGUAGGGAAUCUUCCGCAAUGGGCGAAAGCCUGACGGAGCAACGCCGCGUGAGUGAUGAAGGUCUUCGGAUCGUAAAACUCUGUUAUUAGGGAAGAACAUAUAUGUAAGUAACUGUGCACAUCUUGACGGUACCUAAUCAGAAAGCCACGGCUAACUACGUGCCAGCAGCCGCGGUAAUACGUAGGUGGCAAGCGUUAUCCGGAAUUAUUGGGCGUAAAGCGCGCGUAGGCGGUUUUUUAAGUCUGAUGUGAAAGCCCACGGCUCAACCGUGGAGGGUCAUUGGAAACUGGAAAACUUGAGUGCAGAAGAGGAAAGUGGAAUUCCAUGUGUAGCGGUGAAAUGCGCAGAGAUAUGGAGGAACACCAGUGGCGAAGGCGACUUUCUGGUCUGUAACUGACGCUGAUGUGCGAAAGCGUGGGGAUCAAACAGGAUUAGAUACCCUGGUAGUCCACGCCGUAAACGAUGAGUGCUAAGUGUUAGGGGGUUUCCGCCCCUUAGUGCUGCAGCUAACGCAUUAAGCACUCCGCCUGGGGAGUACGACCGCAAGGUUGAAACUCAAAGGAAUUGACGGGGACCCGCACAAGCGGUGGAGCAUGUGGUUUAAUUCGAAGCAACGCGAAGAACCUUACCAAAUCUUGACAUCCUUUGACAACUCUAGAGAUAGAGCUUUCCCCUUCGGGGGACAAAGUGACAGGUGGUGCAUGGUUGUCGUCAGCUCGUGUCGUGAGAUGUUGGGUUAAGUCCCGCAACGAGCGCAACCCUUAAGCUUAGUUGCCAUCAUUAAGUUGGGCACUCUAAGUUGACUGCCGGUGACAAACCGGAGGAAGGUGGGGAUGACGUCAAAUCAUCAUGCCCCUUAUGAUUUGGGCUACACACGUGCUACAAUGGACAAUACAAAGGGCAGCGAAACCGCGAGGUCAAGCAAAUCCCAUAAAGUUGUUCUCAGUUCGGAUUGUAGUCUGCAACUCGACUACAUGAAGCUGGAAUCGCUAGUAAUCGUAGAUCAGCAUGCUACGGUGAAUACGUUCCCGGGUCU
This 1372-nucleotide ribosomal RNA is filed under the name uncultured bacterium. RNAcentral describes it as "bacterial SSU rRNA". It matches the Rfam family "Bacterial small subunit ribosomal RNA", at positions 28 to 1381 of the family's 1533-position model. The record is from RNAcentral.